RNAcentral lists this unclassified non-coding RNA (1902 nucleotides) under Hermetia illucens (black soldier fly). RNAcentral's name for it is "wD repeat domain phosphoinositide-interacting protein 2, transcript variant X5". Lineage: Eukaryota; Metazoa; Arthropoda; Insecta; Diptera; Stratiomyidae. The record is from RNAcentral.
ACUACAAAGCGGCCAAACCUAGCGAAAACGGGUUCUUUCGACUUCGCAUGGGACGCAAGAACGACCUGAAAUGUGGCAACUCUCAAUCACUUGCCGUUGGAUUGACAACCGGAUAUAGUUUAUAUAGCUUAGGAAAUAUUGAUACUAGUCUCGAAAGGAUUUACACAAAUGAUGGCGAACCAAUUAAAUUGAUAGAAAGAUUAUUUGAAAGCUCAUUAGUAGCAGUUGUUACGGCGACAUCUCCGCGAAAACUGAAGGUGUGCCAUUUCAAACGACAAAGUGAGAUAUGCAAUUACUCGUACUCAAAUACAAUAUUAGCGAUCAAAUUGAAUCGUGAUCGCCUAGUAGUAUGUUUAGAAGAGAGCCUUUACAUUCAUAAUAUUCAAGAUAUGAAAGUUGUACACACAAUUCGUGAUACCCCAACAAACCCCUCUGGUCUUUGCGCUCUGUCUUCUUCAUCCGAUCAUUGUUAUUUAGCGUAUCCUGGAAGUGUGGCAUCUGGAGAAGUACAAAUUUUUGAUGCAAUCAACUUGCAAGCGAAAACGAUGAUUGAAGCACACAAUUCAUCACUAUAUGCGAUUGCAUUCAAUUCGUCUGGAACACAAAUAGCUACGGCUAGUGAGAAGGGAACAGUGAUUCGUGUAUUUUCAACGAUAGACGGAAAGAAAUUAUAUGAAUUUAGGCGAGGCAUGAAGCGUUGCGUUAAGAUCGCAUCACUGUCAUUUAGUACAUGCUCAGAUUAUUUAGUUUGCAGUUCAAAUACUGAAACGGUUCACAUAUUUAAGCUAGAUAAAGCCAGUAUGGAACCAGAGACUAGCAAAUCUCCGGACGAUUGGAGUGGGUACUUUAGUUUAAUUUCGCAAACUGCCAGAAGCUAUUUGCCAACACAAGUAACAGACGUUUUCACUCAAGGGCGUGCUUUUGCUUCGGUGGUUCUUCCCGAGGCAAAUGUUAAGCGAAUUUGUGCAAUAACAACCAUUCAAAAAUCAUUAAGACUUUUAAUUGCAUCAAUGGAUGGACACCUAUAUGUUUACUCAAUAGCACCAGUCGAAGGUGGUGAAUGCCAACUAGUAAAGAAGCAUAAUCUGCGAACUGCCGAAUCAUUACCAAUUUCAGUUCGCGCUGGAAUAUACACAGAAGAAGUAAUUUUUGAAGGAACUUCUUUAACAGAUUCGUGGAUAGUAAUCUAGUGAUUGCAUCAGUUUGCUAAAGUAAACACCAUCAUAUAAAUAUCUAAACAUAUUAGCUUUUGUCAUGUUUGUAAGAGAAGUACACUGAAACAGCUCCGUCAAAAUCGACAGAACUAAAAAAUCUGUUGAAGACGCCGAAAUUGGCGUAGCGAAGAGCUUCAACGAUCAUUUUCCGAGUCAAAUACAUUGGUAACAUAAAUCUGCAAUGGGAUCAUUGCGGUUUGUUACAAUCAUGCCACGAUACCAUAAGCUAUGUAGAAGGAGUUUUCAUCGAUUCUGACGAGUUUCUGUAUUCACCUGUCACCGCCAUCACAAUCUCUUUGACCUUUUCCUUUUGCAGCAAAACAGACUGAAACCUAAAUGUGUAUUAAUUAGCUUUUUAUGUUUAAGUUCGCUUGAAUGACAUUUUUUUUAUUCUCGAUUGUGCAUUAUAUUUUUAAGAUACUGUUGUAUGACUUGUGGGGGUUUAGGUGAGGUAUUUCAUCUGAAUCUCGAGGCUCUGAUACAAGAAAACAAAUUGUUUGCCAUAAGAGAAACCUGAAAAACAAGUUUAGAUGUAAUUAUAUGAUAAGUUUUUUAUACGCUUUUGAACAUAUUUCGCUUUUGAGACUGAUGUUUUCUUGAUUGAGACGUUGUUAAAAUUGAUGAUAAUUGGCUCAAUCUAAUUUAUAGUACAAAAUUUCGAUCGUCCAAUAAAGUUAUUAAAACGGAA